This 1157-nucleotide ribosomal RNA is filed under the name uncultured bacterium. Its description in RNAcentral is "bacterial SSU rRNA". It matches the Rfam family "Bacterial small subunit ribosomal RNA", at positions 8 to 1160 of the family's 1533-position model. The record is from RNAcentral.
AGAGUUUGAUCAUGGCUCAGAACAAACGCUGGCGGCGUGUCUUAAGCAUGCAAGUCGAGCGGCAAGGGCAGCAAUGCCCCUAGAGCGGCGGACUGGUGAGUAACGCGUGGGUGAUCUACCUGAGGCUUGGGGAUAGCCAUUAGAAAUAGUGGGUAAUACCGAAUACGAUCGUUAUCGUGAGGGUAACGAGGAAAGGUGCUACGGCAUCGGCCACAGAUGAGCUCGCGUCCCAUUAGCUAGUUGGUGAGGUAACGGCCCACCAAGGCGAUGAUGGGUAGCCGGCCUGAGAGGGUGUACGGCCACACUGGGACUGAGAUACGGCCCAGACUCCUACGGGAGGCAGCAGCUAAGAAUAUUCCGCAAUGGACGAAAGUCUGACGGAGCGACGCCGCGUGGAUGAAGAAGGCCGAAAGGUUGUAAAAUCCUUUUGCUGGGGAAGAAUAAGUCUGGGAGGGAAUGCCCGGAUGAUGACAUGAACCGGCGAAUAAGCCCCGGCCAACUACGUGCCAGCAGCCGCGGUAACACGUAGGGGGCGAGCGUUGUUCGGAAUUACUGGGCGUAAAGGGCAUGUAGGCGGCCUUGUAAGCUUGGCGUGAAAUACCAUGGCUCAACCAUGGGAAUGCGUUGAGAACUGCGAGGCUUGAGUGACGGAGAGGGAGCUAGAAUUCCUGGUGUAGGGGUGGAAUCUGUAGAGAUCAGGAAGAAUACCAAUGGCGAAGGCAAGCUCCUGGCCGAUGACUGACGCUGAGGUGCGAAAGUGUGGGGAUCAAACAGGAUUAGAUACCCUGGUAGUCCACACGGUAAACGAUGUGCACUAGGUGCUGGGGCGGAUGCCUCAGUGCCGUAGCUAACGUGAUAAGUGCACCGCCCGGGGAGUAUGCUCGCAAGGGUGAAACUCAAAGGAAUUGACGGGGGCCCGCACAAGCGGUGGAGCAUGUGGUUUAAUUCGAUGGUACGCGAGGAACCUUACCUGGGUUUGACAUACAGCGUGAUAGUCAAGAGAUUGGCUAGCGUAGCAAUACGACGCUGUACAGGUGCUGCAUGGCUGUCGUCAGCUCGUGCCGUGAGGUGUUGGGUUAAGUCCCGCAACGAGCGCAACCCCUACUGCCAGUUACUAACAGGUGAAGCUGAGGACUCUGGCGGAACUGCCGGUGACA